CUGCGACCGAUUGGUGGUUGCUUAGUCCCGGUGAGGGCUAGCUCUCCAGUCCAGUCCCAUACUUGUUUCACGGUACGUCUCCAUGGUUCUCCUCUGUUGUCCAGCCAAUUUAAUUUCCUCUGACUGAUUUGCAUUCGUCUUCCACCUGGGAGGGACUCUAUCGGCCGGUCUUUGGCUGGUGUUCUGAUGGAUGUUCCCUCCCGACCCAAGUGGAUUUGCCUCUAUCGGGGGAGCCCCUUUCGGAAACGUUUGCCCCCUAUUUCGAUACGCUCCAGCCGCGCAAAGUUCGUGCGAGGUCGAGCCGAACUGUCUGACCAAGUGGCCCUCCAUUGGUGUUCCGGUGCGGGGAGUGGCACACUCAGGCUGCGAAGCAUGUGGUGAUGGUCAUCCCGUAACGCAUCGGCGCCAGAAACACGUAUUCUCAAACCCUGUCUUUAAACGUGGACCUACCCGGUUGACCCAAGCGGUCUAUCCGAGGUUGUGGUUCCUUUUGCCCAGUUGAUGGCGUUCCGAAUAGGCGCUCCAGCUAGACAAGAGACCUCUCGAGCGGCGCCCGGCACCUGUGGCUCCGGCCAUGGGCAGUUCAGGGCCUCCCGCUGGGUGCUUGGUGGAUAGUGCCAGGGCCUCCUCCCCUGACGGGAUAGGAUCGGUCCCUGGUGUUGUUUGCUUCGAGUGCCCAGGUACAAACAUCUAUGUUGUGAGUGGCUACCUGGUUGAUCCUGCCAGUAGCAUAUGCUUGUCUCAAAGAUUAAGCCAUGCAAGUCUAAGUACACACGGCCGGUACAGUGAAACUGCGAAUGGCUCAUUAAAUCAGUUGUGGUUCCUUUUGCCCAGUUGAUGGCGUUCCGAAUAGGCGCUCCAGCUAGACAAGAGACCUCUCGAGCGGCGCCCCGGCACCUGUGGCUCCGGCCAUGGGCAGUUCAGGGCCUCCCGCUGGGCGCUUGGUGGAUAGCGCCAGGGCCUCCUCCCCUGACGGGAUAGGAUCGGUCCCUGGUUGUUGUUUGCUUCGAGCGCCCAGGUACAAACAUCUAAGUUGUGAGUGGCUACCUGGUUGAUCCUGCCAGUAGCAUAUGCUUGUCUCAAAGAUUAAGCCAUGCAAGUCUAAGUACACACGGCCGGUACAGUGAAACUGCGAAUGGCUCAUUAAAUCAGUUAUGGUUCUUUUGAUCGCUCAAACGUCACUUGAAU
Long non-coding RNA from Oncorhynchus tshawytscha (Chinook salmon), 1188 nucleotides. Lineage: Eukaryota; Metazoa; Chordata; Actinopteri; Salmoniformes; Salmonidae. The record is from Ensembl.